RNAcentral lists this unclassified non-coding RNA (339 nucleotides) under soil metagenome. RNAcentral describes it as "partial contains 5.8S ribosomal RNA, internal transcribed spacer 2, and large subunit ribosomal RNA". The stretch from base 1 to 120 matches the Rfam family "5.8S ribosomal RNA", at positions 35 to 154 of the family's 154-position model. The record is from RNAcentral.
GAUGAAGAACGUAGCGAAAUGCGAUAAGUAAUGUGAAUUGCAGAAUUCAGUGAAUCAUCGAAUCUUUGAACGCACAUUGCGCCCCCUGGUAUUCCGGGGGGCAUGCCUGUCCGAGCGUCAUUGCAACCCUCAAGCGCGGCUUGUGUGUUGGGCUUCGUCCCCCCGUGGACGUGCCCGAAAGGCAGUGGCGGCGUCCCGAAUGGUGCCCGAGCGUAUGGGAACUCUCUUCCGCUCGAACCGGCCCAUUCGGCGCUGGUCGAACCCCAAUUUUUUUUUACCGGUUGACCUCGGAUCAGGUAGGGAUACCCGCUGAACUUAAGCAUAUCAAUAAGCGGAGGA